GGUUGAUCCUGCCAGUAGUCAUAUGCUUGUCUCAAAGAUUAAGCCAUGCAUGUCUAAGUAUAAACAUCUUUAUACCGUGAAACUGCGUACGGCUCAUUAAAUCAGUGAUAAUUUAUUUGAUGGUACAUCUCACUACAUGGAUAACUGUAGUAAUUCUAGAGCUAAUACAUGCGUAAGGGCCCGACCUCUCGUGGGAAGGGUUGUAUUUAUUAGAUCCAAAACCAAUGGCCGGGUGGCAACAUUCGGUCUAUAUUGGUGAAUCAUAGUAACUUGACGAAUCGCAUGGCCUCUGG
This 293-nucleotide ribosomal RNA is filed under the name uncultured eukaryote. RNAcentral describes it as "partial 18S ribosomal RNA". It matches the Rfam family "Eukaryotic small subunit ribosomal RNA", at positions 6 to 283 of the family's 1831-position model. The record is from RNAcentral.